The sequence is a ribosomal RNA, 550 nucleotides long. It matches the Rfam family "Eukaryotic large subunit ribosomal RNA", at positions 86 to 657 of the family's 3401-position model.
ACGGCGAGUGAAGCGGCAAAAGCUCAAAUUUGAAAUCUGGCACUUUCAGUGUCCGAGUUGUAAUUUGAAGAAGGUAACUUUGGAGUUGGCCCUUGUCUAUGUUCCUUGGAACAGGACGUCACAGAGGGUGAGAAUCCCGUGCGAUGAGGUGUCCAAUUCUAUGUAAAGUGCUUUCGAAGAGUCGAGUUGUUUGGGAAUGCAGCUCUAAGUGGGUGGUAAAUUCCAUCUAAAGCUAAAUAUUGGCGAGAGACCGAUAGCGAACAAGUACAGUGAUGGAAAGAUGAAAAGAACUUUGAAAAGAGAGUGAAAAAGUACGUGAAAUUGUUGAAAGGGAAGGGCUUGAGAUCAGACUCGGUAUUUUGCAAGCCUAUCCUUCGUGGAGAGGUUUAUUAGCAGCUUACCGGGCCAGCAUCGGUUUGGAUGGUAGGAUAAUGGCAUUGGAAUGUGGCUCCUCGGAGUGUUAUAGCCUUUGUUGAUACUGCCUAUCUAGACCGAGGACUGCGUCUUUGACUAGGAUGCUGGCGUAAUGAUCUUAAGCCGCCCGUCUUGA